CUUCCGCUCGUCCGCUUACUUUCAUCAAAUAAAGCGGCCUACAGAGCAAUCGAAGGAGAGCGACAUGUCCUUCGCCCUCGCCCUCCCCGGUACUACCACCCGCAUCCCCCUCUCCUUUUCCGCCUUCACAGCAGCGAGAAGCAGAAGAAGAAGAAGGGAUCUCUUCUCCUCUUCUUCCACCACAACCUUCGCCAUGUCCUCCAAUCCCAUCACUCCCUCGCCCCCCCAACUCCAGCACCAACACCAACACCAACAGGAGUCAUCGUCAUCGUCGUCGUCGUCUGCUGCUGCUGCUGCCGCUGUAGAUGCGGCGACGCGUUACCACAACAGGACGAAGCACUCGCUGACGGGGGGCUACGCCCGGGGCCCGCGCGGCCUGGACUGGGCCAAUCAGCCAAACCCCUUCCUCCGCUUCCUCUCCUCCCCUCUCCUUCCCCUCCUCCACUCUCCCCCUGAACCUCACGACGACUCCCCUCUCUACCACUCCGUCUUCUCCUCCUCCCUUCCUCCGCCGCAGCCCUUUUCCCACGCCUCCAUCUCCCGCCUCCUCUACGACUCCCUCUCCCUCUCCGCCUGGAAGUCCACCGGCCUCUCCACCUGGUCCCUCCGCGUCAACCCGUCCAGCGGCAACCUUCACCCCACCGAGUCCCACCUCCUUUCCCCACCUCUUCCCCUCUCGCAACAACAACCCUCCUCUCCUCCUCCUUUCUCUUCCUCUUCUUUCUUGGCCCAUUACUCACCCAAGGACCACUCCCUCGAGCUCCGCGCCUCGAUAUCCCCGCCGGACCUCCCCCUCCACCGAUCUCUGCUCCUCGCCUUCUCCUCCAUCCUCUGGCGGGAGGCCUGGAAGUACGGCGAGCGUGCCUUUCGAUACUGCAACCAUGACGUCGGCCACGCCCUCGCCGCCACCGCCGUCUCUGCCGCUACUCUCGGCUGGGACGUCUGCCUCCUCGAUGGCCUUGGCCACGACGACCUCCAUCGCCUCCUCGGCCUCGACCGCUCCAAUCCCCCGUCCCCCGACAGGCUCCCCGACCACCCUGUCCGUGGCCGCCUCCCAUGGGUCGAGUCUCAGCACCCCGACUGCGCCCUCUUGAUCUUCCCCUUCGGCGAGACUCCACCCUCGGUCGAUUAUGCCGAGCUUGCCUUGGCGUUAUCCCGCUUACCGGCGAUGGAGUGGCUCGGCAAGCCCAAUUCCCUCAGCAAGGACCAUGUCUGUUGGGACGUGAUCUACAAGACGGCCGAGGCCGUCAAGAAACCGCCGACGUACGGUGAGGGGUUCUCUGUGAAUCCAUUCCAUAGGAGUCCGCUUAUAUCACCUGAUCUCUACAAGGAUAUGACGGUCCGGCAGGUGGUCAGGAAGCGGCGUAGUGCUGUCGACAUGGAUGGCGUGCAUGUACUGGAGAAGGAUACCUUCUACCAGAUCUUGCUUCAUUGCCUUCCUUCCGGUGAAUUGGGGCUCGGAGAGAAGCAGGGGAAGCAAUUCACGUUGCCGUUCAGAGUCCUGACAUGGGACGCAGAGGUGCAUGCAGCACUGUUUGUUCAUAGGGUCCGGGACUUGCCAAAGGGGUUGUACUUCUUGGUGAGGAACGAGGAGCAUCUUGACCGUCUAAAGAGUGCAAUGAGGUCAGAGUUCGAGUGGGAGAGGCCGGAAGGUUGCCCUUCUGGGCUUCCUCUCUAUAGGCUUGCACGAGGAGACUGUCGGGAGCUUGCCAAACAACUUUCGUGCCAUCAGUGUAGGACAUUGCCUCAGAUGGGUGUUUUAGCCUAGGCAUGGUUGCUCGUUUUGAGCCAGUUCUGCAUGAAAAGGGUGCAUGGAUGUAUCCUCGUCUGUUCUGGGAGACUGGAGUUCUUGGUCAAGUACUAUACCUGGAAGCACAUGCAGUUGGGAUAUCGGCUACUGGAAUUGGUUGCUACUUUGAUGAUGAUGUUCAUGAGGUUCUUGGUCUGCAAGGGUUGGAGUUCCAGAGCCUUUACCACUUCACCAUUGGAAGCCCUGUGCUGGAUAAACGAAUUUUGAGUCUGCCAGCGUAUCCAGGCCCUGGAAUUGAUGCAUAGUCUACUUCAAUGAUACAUAAGGAUCAGCAAUUCACGGAGGAGUACUGGGAAAAUUAAGUCUUGCUUCCAUAUAUCCUCCUGUUCAGCAAUAAGUAGCACUUGAUGGGUCACAGACAUCUGUUGUUGUUUUCAUUCUCUAUGCAAGGGUUUUAUAAAAUAUGAAAAGAGGAUUCCUGUUCGUGGUAACCGGACAGUGGCAUUUUGAUUUAGAAGUUUUAAGCACACACCUGUAAAUUGUGAACCUGUCUAUAGAUUUUGCUGCCGUGUAAAUAACCAAGUGCAGUGGCAGCACAUUCUUCCAGAUGUGUGAGGAACUGAUAAGAGAGUAGUGAUUGAGAUGUGGCACAAAUGGUUAUAGUUAUACAAAGAUGUUAAAUUAUCUGGCAAACAAACAAGUGCACUGGAAA
This is a non-coding RNA of Musa acuminata subsp. malaccensis (wild Malaysian banana), 2462 nucleotides long. NCBI's taxonomy places the organism in Eukaryota, Viridiplantae, Streptophyta, Magnoliopsida, Zingiberales, Musaceae. The record is from RefSeq and is a predicted model, not a curated record.